UGGGGAAUUUUGCACAAUGGGGGCAACCCUGAUGCAGCGACGCCGCGUGAUUUAGAAGGCCUUCGGGUUGUAAAAAUCUUUUGUAUGGGAAGAAAAUGACAGUACCAUACGAAUAAGGACCGGCUAAUUACGUGCCAGCAGCCGCGGUAAUACGUAAGGUCCGAGCGUUGUCCGGAAUCAUUGGGCGUAAAGGGUACGUAGGCGGAUAAGCAAGUUAGAAGUGAAAUCCUAUAGCUCAACUAUAGUAAGCUUUUAAAACUGCUCAUCUUGAGGUAUGGAAGGGAAAGUGGAAUUCCUAGUGUAGCGGUGAAAUGCGCAGAUAUUAGGAGGAAUACCGGUGGCGAAGGCGACUUUCUGGCCAUAAACUGACGGUGAGGUACGAAAGCGUGGGUAGCAAACAGG
This 402-nucleotide ribosomal RNA is filed under the name Actinomycetes bacterium. RNAcentral describes it as "Actinobacteria bacterium partial 16S ribosomal RNA". It matches the Rfam family "Bacterial small subunit ribosomal RNA", at positions 355 to 776 of the family's 1533-position model. Lineage: Bacteria; Bacillati; Actinomycetota; Actinomycetes. The record is from RNAcentral.